CGAGGGGAGUGAAAAAGAACCUGAAACCGUGUACGUACAAGCAGUGGGAGCACGCUUAGGCGUGUGACUGCGUACCUUUUGUAUAAUGGGUCAGCGACUUAUAUUCUGUAGCAAGGUUAACCGAAUAGGGGAGCCGAAGGGAAACCGAGUCUUAACUGGGCGUUAAGUUGCAGGGUAUAGACCCGAAACCCGGUGAUCUAGCCAUGGGCAGGUUGAAGGUUGGGUAACACUAACUGGAGGACCGAACCGACUAAUGUUGAAAAAUUAGCGGAUGACUUGUGGCUGGGGGUGAAAGGCCAAUCAAACCGGGAGAUAGCUGGUUCUCCCCGAAAGCUAUUUAGGUAGCGCCUCGUGAAUUCAUCUCCGGGGGUAGAGCACUGUUUCGGCAAGGGGGUCAUCCCGACUUACCAACCCGAUGCAAACUGCGAAUACCGGAGAAUGUUAUCACGGGAGACACACGGCGGGUGCUAACGUCCGUCGUGAAGAGGGAAACAACCCAGACCGCCAGCUAAGGUCCCAAAGUCAUGGUUAAGUGGGAAACGAUGUGGGAAGGCCCAGACAGCCAGGAUGUUGGCUUAGAAGCAGCCAUCAUUUAAAGAAAGCGUAAUAGCUCACUGGUCGAGUCGGCCUGCGCGGAAGAUGUAACGGGGCUAAACCAUGCACCGAAGCUGCGGCAGCGACGCUUAUGCGUUGUUGGGUAGGGGAGCGUUCUGUAAGCCUGUGAAGGUGUGCUGUGAGGCAUGCUGGAGGUAUCAGAAGUGCGAAUGCUGACAUAAGUAACGAUAAAGCGGGUGAAAAGCCCGCUCGCCGGAAGACCAAGGGUUCCUGUCCAACGUUAAUCGGGGCAGGGUGAGUCGACCCCUAAGGCGAGGCCGAAAGGCGUAGUCGAUGGGAAACAGGUUAAUAUUCCUGUACUUGGUGUUACUGCGAAGGGGGGACGGAGAAGGCUAUGUUGGCCGGGCGACGGUUGUCCCGGUUUAAGCGUGUAGGCUGGUUUUCCAGGCAAAUCCGGAAAAUCAAGGCUGAGGCGUGAUGACGAGGCACUACGGUGCUGAAGCAACAAAUGCCCUGCUUCCAGGAAAAGCCUCUAAGCAUCAGGUAACAUCAAAUCGUACCCCAAACCGACACAGGUGGUCAGGUAGAGAAUACCAAGGCGCUUGAGAGAACUCGGGUGAAGGAACUAGGCAAAAUGGUGCCGUAACUUCGGGAGAAGGCACGCUGAUAUGUAGGUGAAGUCCCUCGCGGAUGGAGCUGAAAUCAGUCGAAGAUACCAGCUGGCUGCAACUGUUUAUUAAAAACACAGCACUGUGCAAACACGAAAGUGGACGUAUACGGUGUGACGCCUGCCCGGUGCCGGAAGGUUAAUUGAUGGGGUCAGCGCAAGCGAAGCUCUUGAUCGAAGCCCCGGUAAACGGCGGCCGUAACUAUAACGGUCCUAAGGUAGCGAAAUUCCUUGUCGGGUAAGUUCCGACCUGCACGAAUGGCGUAAUGAUGGCCAGGCUGUCUCCACCCGAGACUCAGUGAAAUUGAACUCGCUGUGAAGAUGCAGUGUACCCGCGGCAAGACGGAAAGACCCCGUGAACCUUUACUAUAGCUUGACACUGAACAUUGAGCCUUGAUGUGUAGGAUAGGUGGGAGGCUUAGAAGUGUGGACGCCAGUCUGCAUGGAGCCGACCUUGAAAUACCACCCUUUAAUGUUUGAUGUUCUAACGUUGACCCGUAAUCCGGGUUGCGGACAGUGUCUGGUGGGUAGUUUGACUGGGGCGGUCUCCUCCUAAAGAGUAACGGAGGAGCACGAAGGUUGGCUAAUCCUGGUCGGACAUCAGGAGGUUAGUGCAAUGGCAUAAGCCAGCUUGACUGCGAGCGUGACGGCGCGAGCAGGUGCGAAAGCAGGUCAUAGUGAUCCGGUGGUUCUGAAUGGAAGGGCCAUCGCUCAACGGAUAAAAGGUACUCCGGGGAUAACAGGCUGAUACCGCCCAAGAGUUCAUAUCGACGGCGGUGUUUGGCACCUCGAUGUCGGCUCAUCACAUCCUGGGGCUGAAGUAGGUCCCAAGGGUAUGGCUGUUCGCCAUUUAAAGUGGUACGCGAGCUGGGUUUAGAACGUCGUGAGACAGUUCGGUCCCUAUCUGCCGUGGGCGCUGGAGAACUGAGGGGGGCUGCUCCUAGUACGAGAGGACCGGAGUGGACGCAUCACUGGUGUUCGGGUUGUCAUGCCAAUGGCACUGCCCGGUAGCUAAAUGCGGAAGAGAUAAGUGCUGAAAGCAUCUAAGCACGAAACUUGCC
This 2283-nucleotide ribosomal RNA is filed under the name Escherichia coli. RNAcentral describes it as "partial 23S ribosomal RNA". It matches the Rfam family "Bacterial large subunit ribosomal RNA", at positions 530 to 2798 of the family's 2925-position model. RNAcentral also lists the same sequence under 1 other name. Lineage: Bacteria; Pseudomonadati; Pseudomonadota; Gammaproteobacteria; Enterobacterales; Enterobacteriaceae. The record is from RNAcentral.